This 610-nucleotide ribosomal RNA is filed under the name Absidia sp. DXL-2020c. RNAcentral's name for it is "partial large subunit ribosomal RNA". It matches the Rfam family "Eukaryotic large subunit ribosomal RNA", at positions 144 to 655 of the family's 3401-position model. Lineage: Eukaryota; Fungi; Mucoromycota; Mucoromycetes; Mucorales; Cunninghamellaceae. The record is from RNAcentral.
UGUAAACUAAAGUUUUCAGGUAGUUUGGCUAGCCCGGUAAAUAAGUUCUCUGGAAAGGGACGACAAAGAGGGUGAAAUCCCCGUUUUUGGCCGGAGCAUAGUCUUGCGUUUGCUUGGGAAUGAAGAGUCAGGUUGUUUGGUAUUGCAGCCUAAAGUGGGAGGUAAAUCUCUCCUAAAGCUAAAUAUUGACGAAAGACCGAUAGCGAACAAGUACCGUGAGGGAAAGAUGAAAAGCACCUUGAAAAGGGGGUCAAAAAGUACGUGAAAUUGCUGAAAGGGAACCGUAUGAAAUCAGCUUGGCCGUAUAGUAAUCAGCCUAAAUUUCGAUUUGGGUGCACUUGCUAUUUGGUUCAGCCUACGACAAUUUUGCUCGGGGGAAAAAAUCAGGGGAAAUGUAGCUUCGGCCUCGGUCGAAGUGUUAUAGGCCUUUGAAAAAUACUCUGGGCGGGAUUGAGGAACGCAGCAAGCCUUUGGGAUGAACUGUGGGCGCUUAUUGGCCGNUGGGGGGAAAUUUCUAUUCAGGUAGUGUUCUCUCAAUGGUUGGUAACUCGGCCACUUUUUCUUUUUCUUGCUUAGGUCGUAGGCAUAAUGAUUUUAUACNACCCGUCUU